This is a long non-coding RNA of Acyrthosiphon pisum (pea aphid), 2247 nucleotides long. RefSeq lists it as uncharacterized. The transcript has 4 exons. Lineage: Eukaryota; Metazoa; Arthropoda; Insecta; Hemiptera; Aphididae. The record is from RefSeq and is a predicted model, not a curated record.
AUGCAUUGGCCGGGACUGCCAAUUGUGACCUCGGGCAGUACAGACUUUUGUAGUUACUAGUUGCAACAAUUUUUUAUCGUUUUUCAAAAGAUUUAUUAAAUUAAUUAUGAGUAUUAAAUUAGUAUAAUAUAUUUUAAAUCACCUAUAUUAGCAUUUUUUUAAAAAUUAUUUUCAUAAAUUAAUUCGACGUUUGGAAAGAACCACUGCGGCACUGCAUGAUGAACCUAAAAGAAUACGAUUUGAAGAUCCAGGAAGUGAAUAUAAUCCUGAAUCAGAUUAUUGAUCAGAUUCAAUUCAAAUUGAAGACUACGAUGACAAUGAGAAUACUGAUGAUGGUGGAAAUACUACGCCUACACAAAUCACACCUACAAGACGUGUACAGGCAAACGUGACACUACUGUUGUGUACAUGGUUCGACGUAACUGAUUUAAAUCUUUUGAGAAAUCGGUCAAUAUAUUGAUGUUAAACUUGGCUAUUGGCGAUUUUAUUUUUCUAUCAAACACGAUUGUGGUUAUAUUUAACAGUUAUUACCAAAGUCCAGUACUUGGAAAUUUAGGUUAGUAAGCUACAGAGGAAAAUAAAUGUUUAUAACAACAUGAUAUACCUACAUUACCUAAUUUCCGAGCUACGUUACUUUGGGCUGUCAGAUUGAUGGAUUUGUUGGUACCCUUGCCAGAACCGUGUCAACCAUGAAAUCAACUGCCAUAUCGUUGGAUCGAUAUAAUUUAUAUUACGUCCUUUGAAGUCCCUUGGCAAACAAACCAAACAUAGGGCCAGGAUCUGGAUCGGCUUGACAUGGAUAUGUGGAUUAGUUUUUUCAAUCAUACCAUUGUUAAAUUUUGAUUGUGGAUUCACGCCAACGGGUUUUUAAUAAACUGAUCUUUUGACUUUUUGUCAGAUGAUAUAAUAGAUAAAUGGAUUAUGAUGAUAUUCUAUAUAAUAGGUGCAUGGAUAUUACCAUCAAUCAUGGUAUUACACUGCUAUAUGGAAAUGUCGAUAGCUGUUUACGCUAACUCUAAAGCAACCAACAGUAGGAUUGGACAGAGUUCAACAAGAAGAUGAACAAAUUAAACUAGUGCAAUAAUACUAUGAAUAUUUUUUUUACACCAUAGAAGAGGUACCAAACAAAAUCGGAACAUCUUAUGGACUACAUCAUGGAUAAAAUGCGGUUAUGUCGGGAUCUCAACUUACCAUUCGCAGAUACGAGGGAUCACAAGUUGGAAGGUGUAUUGGUCCACAAACUAGCUGUGUAUGCAGUGGGUAGAUCGCACAAGUACGAGGAAGAAUUGAUAAGCGACUUGUUAGACUGUCAACGUCUGACGAACAGGCGUAAUACACAUUUCGCUCGGCCUGAAACGCAAACGGUAAAACAACACUCCCAACUAAUAAAUAGCUACGAAACCAGAUAAGAUUGAAACGCCAUAGGAAGGGAAUUUGCCAUAGACGCAACCACGGGUCAAUAAAACCAAAACGUUUAACAAUUCAGGACCAAAAUAUUUCAAUUGCAACGUCUACAGACACAUCAACCACGACUGUCCGAAACCAAGAAGGCCGUUAAAAUGUUCAAAUUGCGGGGCCGAUGGUCACACACGAGGGAAGUGCACUGUGGACAACGAAGCCACACCUCAAGUGAUUUACAGGGGCUUAUAUUGACACCGGCUGCUCAGUGUGUUUGAUCCUUGGCAGUUUGCAGAGCGAAGCAGCAUCGUUUGGGAACAACCAGAUUACUGGUGAGGACAUCCGACCCACUAUUGCAAGUAAGCUGGAACCAAUCGUUGAGAAUGAGGUACACGUUGUCAAAAGCAUAGGACUCAAUGAACGGCAACAAUUAAUGCAGCUACUUAACGAAUCUAAGAGUUUGAGGGAGCUUGACUGCACUAACUUGAUUAAAGUAGAUCUAACAGAGAACGCGGAUAACCUUACCGGUAACGUGCUACCCAUAUAAGACAUCUCCCAACGAUUGUCAGUGUAUAUAAAAAAUUAUGAAGGAAUGGAGAGAAAGUGGCAUCAUCACGGAAACACAUCCCCCUUGCUAGUCAACAAAAUCACAGGGGAAACACGUUUGUGUGUUGAUUACCGUAAACUAGUAGUAAGUAGGGUACGUCCACCACACACACGCCCACAAUUUAUUUUGCAUCAUAACAUCUGUUAAAUAAAAAAAAUCUAAACUUAUAUUUUACCUGUAAAACAUUACAAAAAAUCUAAACUUAUCAGUUGAAUAGGUAGUUAAAAUAGUCAAUUUUGAAU